Molecule: ribosomal RNA, 811 nt
Filed under: uncultured bacterium
Lineage: Bacteria
Description: bacterial SSU rRNA
Rfam family: Bacterial small subunit ribosomal RNA
Source: RNAcentral
CAAGUCGAGGGGUAUAGGUUUUCGGACCUAGAGACCGGCGCACGGGUGCGUAACGCGUAUGCAAUCUACCUUUCACAGAGGGAUAGCCCAGAGAAAUUUGGAUUAAUACCUCAUAGUAUGUGAGAAUGGCAUCAUUUUCACAUUAAAGUCACAACGGUAAAAGAUGAGCAUGCGUCCCAUUAGCUAGUUGGUAAGGUAACGGCUUACCAAGGCUACGAUGGGUAGGGGUCCUGAGAGGGAGAUCCCCCACACUGGUACUGAGACACGGACCAGACUCCUACGGGAGGCAGCAGUGAGGAAUAUUGGACAAUGGGCGCAAGCCUGAUCCAGCCAUGCCGCGUGCAGGAUGACGGUCCUAUGGAUUGUAGACUGCUUUUGCACAGGAAGAAACAACUCUACGUGUAGAGUCUUGACGGUACUGUGAGAAUAAGGAUCGGCUAACUCCGUGCCAGCAGCCGCGGUAAUACGGAGGAUCCAAGCGUUAUCCGGAAUCAUUGGGUUUAAAGGGUCCGUAGGCGGUUUAGUAAGUCAGUGGUGAAAGCCCAUCGCUCAACGGUGGAACGGCCAUUGAUACUGCUAGACUUGAAUUAUUAGGAAGUAACUAGAAUAUGUAGUGUAGCGGUGAAAUGCUUAGAGAUUACAUGGAAUACCAAUUGCGAAGGCAGGUUACUACUAAUGGAUUGACGCUGAUGGGACGAAAGCGUGGGUAGCGAACAGGAUUAGAUACCCUGGUAGUCCACGCCGUAAACGAUGGAUACUAGCUGUUGGGAGCGAUCUCAGUGGCUAAGCGAAAGUGAUAAGUAUCCCACCU